Molecule: long non-coding RNA, 1122 nt
Organism: Thalassophryne amazonica
Lineage: Eukaryota; Metazoa; Chordata; Actinopteri; Batrachoidiformes; Batrachoididae
Exons: 4
Source: RefSeq, a predicted model, not a curated record
CUUUACUGGAAGAUGCCAGUGAGGAGAAUGAGGAUGUCAAGGGCCAUUUCGGUUCUGAGAGGUGCCAGCUCUGCCAGCAGUCAUUGAUUCUGCUUUUGAAGACCUUCUGACCAAGAAAUUAUACUUCUUCUCAGGAGCCAGUUCUGGUAGUUACACGGGCAGAGUGUGCUGGGACCCCGCAGUAUAACAAAACUUGGAUUACCAGCAGCAUUGAGAAGGUGGAGGGGCUCGCAGAGAGGAAAAGGCAAAGUGUGCUCUUCAGUGGGGAGAACUUCUGGAGGCUGGAUGGAAGGCACAGAACAUUGAACAGAGGGUACCGCGAUACACAGACUCCAUUUUGGUGGCGUCCCCAUUGAUGCACAUGAUGUUUUCCUGUACAAAGGUCGCAUGUACUUCUGUCACGAUCGCUUCUACUGGCGUGUGAAUUCCCGCAGGCAGGUGGAUCGUGUGGGUUAUGUGAAGUACGACCUCCUCAGCUGCUCUGAUUCCCCAAGAGUUUCCUACUGAGAAAUCACCACAGGGUUGAGCUGAAAUAAUAGAUUGUGUAGGAAGUGACUUGUCUCUCCUGGGUGAAGAGGAAGCGGUAUCAGUAUUUGUGUAAAAUGGCUGUUGUAAUGAUGUCUGCUUUCUGGCAUGUGAGUACUUAUAGGCAUCAUUUGUUUCAGCAAUUUGUAGCUUUGGCCUGCAAAUCUUUCAAAGGCUAAAUUCAGGAAAGCCAACUGUGUUCUUUGGUACUGUCCUGCUCGCAGUACUGUAUUCUGUGAACAGAAGAGUUGCAGCGGCCUAAAAUUUGAGACCCAUAGCCACAAUUUAAAUUACUUCAAGAGCUAUGACUGUCUGGAUCAGAUUCCAGAUUAUCACAGUAAUUUGUCUGACAGGUUCAGACUCAUAUCAGGAUUAGAAUAUUCUUGUAUUUAUAGCAAUAUCUAUAUGUUGUGUUUUAAUGCUUGUUGGUUUUGUAUAGGUCUGUGUAUUUUUGAAAAAUACUGUAAAUUCCGUAAAAGCCACUUAUUUGCACUGGACAAAACUCCAUGUUCCUUCACUGAAAUAAUUUAUGAAACUGAUAUAUUUUGUAUUGAAUUUCUGAAAGCUUAAUGCAAUAAACAUUCUGUGAGAACAACA